AUUGAACGCUGGCGGCAUGCUUUACACAUGCAAGUCGAACGGCAGCGCGGGCUUCGGCCUGGCGGCGAGUGGCGAACGGGUGAGUAAUACAUCGGAACGUGCCCAGUAGUGGGGGAUAGCUCGGCGAAAGCCGGAUUAAUACCGCAUACGACCUGAGGGUGAAAGCGGGGGAUCUUCGGACCUCGCGCUAUUGGAGCGGCCGAUGGCAGAUUAGCUAGUUGGUGGGGUAAAGGCCUACCAAGGCGACGAUCUGUAGCUGGUCUGAGAGGACGACCAGCCACACUGGGACUGAGACACGGCCCAGACUCCUACGGGAGGCAGCAGUGGGGAAUUUUGGACAAUGGGCAAAAGCCUGAUCCAGCAAUGCCGCGCGUGUGAUGAAGGCCUUCGGGUUGUAAAGCACUUUUGGCGGGAACGAAAAGGACUGUGCCAAUACCACGGUUCGAUGACGGUACCCGCAGAAUAAGCACCGGCUAACUACGUG
This 484-nucleotide ribosomal RNA is filed under the name uncultured bacterium. Its description in RNAcentral is "partial 16S ribosomal RNA". It matches the Rfam family "Bacterial small subunit ribosomal RNA", at positions 29 to 507 of the family's 1533-position model. The record is from RNAcentral.